GGGGGCGACAUGGCUUCGACGUGGAUAGCAAAACCUUGAGUGCAUGCCGAGGACAGUACACCUCGUAAAAUCUACUGAACUUAAAGUAUUCGCAAAUGACGAAAACUACUCAAUGGCUUUAGCUGCGUAAAACCAGCACCAUUCCUCUGACUGUGUGUGCUUAUGCGGGCAGAGUUCUUCGGAACACUCAGAGGUCAUCUCACAUAAGAUCGCGCCAAGGCUUCGUUCGUAGCUGGAAGCGUUAAAUUUAAUCGAAAUCGCUGAUAGUUUUCUUGGCCUGUCGGGUAGC
RNAcentral lists this transfer-messenger RNA (289 nucleotides) under Methylococcales bacterium. RNAcentral describes it as "partial transfer-messenger RNA". It matches the Rfam family "transfer-messenger RNA", at positions 1 to 283 of the family's 374-position model. From Rfam's summary of the family: Bacterial tmRNA, also known as 10Sa RNA or SsrA, is named for its dual tRNA and mRNA-like properties. Its role is to liberate the mRNA from a stalled ribosome. The record is from RNAcentral. Lineage: Bacteria; Pseudomonadati; Pseudomonadota; Gammaproteobacteria; Methylococcales.